GACGAACGCUGGCGGCGUGCUUAACACAUGCAAGUCGAACGAUGAUGGGGAGCUUGCUCCUUGGAUUAGUGGCGAACGGGUGAGUAACACGUGAGCAACCUGCCCUUGGCUUUGGGAUAACCCUCGGAAACGGGGGCUAAUACCGGAUAUCCACUUUCUGUCGCAUGGCGGUUGGUGGAAAAUUUUUCGGCCAGGGAUGGGCUCGCGGCCUAUCAGCUUGUUGGUGGGGUGAUGGCCUACCAAGGCGACGACGGGUAGCCGGCCUGAGAGGGCGACCGGCCACACUGGGACUGAGACACGGCCCAGACUCCUACGGGAGGCAGCAGUGGGGAAUAUUGCACAAUGGGCGAAAGCCUGAUGCAGCGACGCCGCGUGAGGGAUGACGGCCUUCGGGUUGUAAACCUCUUUCAGCAGGGACGAAGCGAGAGUGACGGUACCUGCAGAAGAAGCGCCGGCCAACUACGUGCCAGCAGCCGCGGUAAGACGUAGGGCGCGAGCGUUGUCCGGAAUUAUUGGGCGUAAAGAGCUCGUAGGCGGCUUGCCGCGUCGACUGUGAAAACCCGUGGCUCAACCAUGCGGUCUGCAGUCGAUACGGGCAGGCUAGAAUUCGGUAGGGGAGACUGGAAUUCCUGGUGUAGCGGUGAAAUGCGCAGAUAUCAGGAGGAACACCGGUGGCGAAGGCGGGUCUCUGGGCCGAUAUUGACGCUGAGGAGCGAAAGCGUGGGGAGCGAACAGGAUUAGAUACCCUGGUAGUCCACGCUGUAAACGUA
Molecule: ribosomal RNA, 770 nt
Filed under: uncultured Actinomycetes bacterium
Lineage: Bacteria; Bacillati; Actinomycetota; Actinomycetes
Description: bacterial SSU rRNA
Rfam family: Bacterial small subunit ribosomal RNA
Source: RNAcentral